UCCAGACUCCUACGGGAGGCAGCAGUGAGGAAUAUUGGUCAAUGGUCGGGGGACUGAACCAGCCAAGCCGCGUGAGGGAGGAAGGUACAGAGUAUCGUAAACCUCUUUUGUCAGGGAACAAAGACUGGGACGCGUCCCCGGAUGAGUGUACCUGAAGAAAAAGCAUCGGCUAACUCCGUGCCAGCAGCCGCGGUAAUACGGAGGAUGCGAGCGUUAUCCGGAUUUAUUGGGUUUAAAGGGAGCGUAGGCCGGUCUUUAAGCGUGCCGUGAAAUUUUGUGGCUCAACCAUGAGAGUGCGGCGCGAACUGGAGACCUUGAGUGCGCGGAAGGCAGGCGGAAUUCGUGGUGUAGCGGUGAAGUGCUUAGAUAUCACGAAGAACUCCGAUUGCGAAGGCAGCUUACUAAACUGCCACUGACAUUGAUGCUCGAAAGUGUGGGUAUCAAACAGGAUUAGAUACCCGAGUA
RNAcentral lists this ribosomal RNA (465 nucleotides) under uncultured bacterium. RNAcentral's name for it is "bacterial SSU rRNA". It matches the Rfam family "Bacterial small subunit ribosomal RNA", at positions 330 to 792 of the family's 1533-position model. The record is from RNAcentral.